GACGAACGCUGGCGGCGUGCUUAACACAUGCAAGUCGAACGGAAAGGCCCUGCUUUUGUUGGGUGCUCGAGUGGCGAACGGGUGAGUAACACGUGAGUAACCUGCCCUUGACUUUGGGAUAACUUCAGGAAACUGGGGCUAAUACCGGAUAGGAGCUCCUGCUGCAUGGUGGGGGUUGGAAAGUUUCGGCGGUUGGGGAUGGACUCGCGGCUUAUCAGCUUGAUGGUGUGGUAGUGGCUUACCAAGGCUUUGACGGGUAGCCGGCCUGAGAGGGUGACCGGCCACAUUGGGACUGAGAUACGGCCCAGACUGCUACGGGAGGCAGCAGUGGGGAAUAUUGCACAAUGGGCGGAAGCCUGAUGCAGCGACGCCGCGUGCGGGAUGACGGCCUUCGGGUUGUAAACCGCUUUCGCCUGUGACGAAGCGUGAGUGACGGUAAUGGGUAAAGAAGCACCGGCUAACUACGUG
This 468-nucleotide ribosomal RNA is filed under the name uncultured bacterium. RNAcentral's name for it is "partial 16S ribosomal RNA". It matches the Rfam family "Bacterial small subunit ribosomal RNA", at positions 28 to 507 of the family's 1533-position model. The record is from RNAcentral.